UCAGUACCCCGAGAAAAAGAAAUCAACCGAGAUUCCCCCAGUAGCGGCGAGCGAACGGGGAGCAGCCCAGAGUCAACAUCAAUAUUUACCACAGGAGAAGGGUCUGGAAAAGCCGGCAAUAAAGGGUGAUAGCCCCGUAUCUAAAGCGGUAAGUGUUGUGAACUCGAAGAGUAGGGCGGGACACGUGUUAUCCUGUCUGAAUAUGGGGGGACCAUCCUCCAAGGCUAAAUACUCCUGACUGACCGAUAGUGAACCAGUACCGUGAGGGAAAGGCGAAAAGAACCCCGGCGAGGGGAGUGAAAUAGAACCUAAAACCGUGUACGUACAAGCAGUAGGAGCACCCGAAAGGGUGUGACUGCGUACCUUUUGUAUAAUGAGUCAGCGACUUAUAUUCUGUAGCAAGGUUAACCGCAUAGGGGAGCCGUAGGGAAACCGAGUCUUAACUGGGCGUUAAGUUGCAGGGUAUAGACCCGAAACCCG
RNAcentral lists this ribosomal RNA (480 nucleotides) under Arsenophonus secondary endosymbiont of Bemisia tabaci. RNAcentral describes it as "bacterial LSU rRNA". It matches the Rfam family "Bacterial large subunit ribosomal RNA", at positions 203 to 724 of the family's 2925-position model. The record is from RNAcentral. Lineage: Bacteria; Pseudomonadati; Pseudomonadota; Gammaproteobacteria; Enterobacterales; Morganellaceae.